This 527-nucleotide long non-coding RNA is filed under the name Gossypium raimondii (Peruvian cotton). RNAcentral describes it as "long non-coding RNA (GRAI_LNC002272)". Lineage: Eukaryota; Viridiplantae; Streptophyta; Magnoliopsida; Malvales; Malvaceae. The record is from RNAcentral.
AGGAGAACACCAUUCAGAGUGAAUAUCGCGACACCAACAUCAUGGAAGUCGUGAUAUCCCUAAAGGUGUUGAAGUGAAGAAAUUAAGUCCAUUUCCAGUGGUAUCACGGCACCAAGGGAUGGUAUCGCGACACUGAAACCUUGAAGACCCUAAUUUAGCUACUGUUUUUGGGUAUUGCGACAAUGAAGGUUGGGUGUCGCGAUACAUCUGAUGGGUGAAAAACUGCAGGGGCAAUAUUGUGUUCAAACAAGCUUAAGUCUUUUUUUUUCAUUUAAGGGAAUGAUGGUUAAUGUUAGGUUAAAUGUUAGUAUACUAUAAAUACUACUUUAUAAGCCUUGGAAGAUAAUUUUUAUUAGUUGAACAUUUCUCCUUUGUGUUUCAUAGUUUUAGGUUAGGUUUUCUUUUCUUUUUAUUUUUAGAUUAGGUUUAGAAUAUAUUUUAUUUUUGUUGUUUCCUAUUUGUUCUUUUAUUGUCGAAGACUAUGCAAAAGAAAGAUGAUCAAACUCUUGGGCUUUAUUGAAUUUCCA